AAUGGGACAACAGAGGUGCCGGCUGUAGCUGGGAAGGACUUGGGGUGCUGUUCACGGACACUUCCUCCUGUACCCCACAUGUGGGGCCCCUCCUCUGCACCCCACCCCAGGAGACCUGUCAGCUGGCGAGGGCCUGGACAGAAUGGCCCCUGGGUGCAGGGACACGUGCCAGCCCGCAUCCUCCAGCAGCUCGGGGGCAGGAAGUCAAGUCCCAGGGACCCGCUGGGCAUGGCCUUUCAGGGUGGGGUGUCAGGCCGCGGCCCACAGUGUUUUCUGGAGGGGUCCGUGGUUUGGAAGGGACAGGGAACUGAAUGACAGUUUGGAAGUUGAGCGCUGAGCAGCAUGGCUUUAUCUGGGACAUGGAGUGUACAGGCAGGUAAAUGAGGGCCCCUCCAGGAUCCCCCCUUGGGGUGUGGGGGUGAGGUUUCCCGAGCUGAUGUGUAGAGAGAGCUGGCCGGCCCUCGGCGCCCCGGGGAGGCCAGCGGUGGGCAGCCAGGACCCUUGAAGUCGAGGCAGUGUGGCGCUGCCUACUCGCCACGGCCAGGAGUUCCUGGGGUGUGAAGGGCCAGAAAGCAGCAGGGCAGCCGGGGGGCACUUCCAGAGGGGCUCAGGGGGCGGGGGGCGCAUGGUCUCAGCCCUGCAGGAGGGGACUCCAUGACUGCCACCUAGAGAGGAACCCCAGAGAGGCUGAAAGUGCAGGAGUCUGUGCCCAAGAUGUGGAGAGGAGGGGGCUUGCCUGGGGGUCAGGAGAGGAGGGGCCUGGGCCCUCUGUCCUGCUGCUGCAGCGGCUGCUCACACAUUAGACUCAACCCCCACUGGGCCCUAGUAGGGCCGUGCCCUGACUGGCUGGUAUCUCAGGCCUGGAAGAGCCAGGCUCAGGGGGACUUGGGGCCAGAGUGGGUGAGGGCAGGUGCGUGAUGCCACCAACUCUGGCCAGAACAGGCUUUGGGUGGGUGGGCACGGAAGGGUCCCAGAACCAGGCCUGGAGGUGGUGGGGGCCGGAUGCCCCCCAGCCAUUCCUCAGGGCCCCGCCCAGGCCUUGGCCUCUGGACGGGUCAGUCCCAACCCAAGUCCGGGCUCCUCCCUUCACCCGCCAUUGCCGCUCGGCCGUGGCCUUGGCCUUGGCCUGUGCAAAUCACUGUUCACAAAUGUGUAAGAUUUUCCAGGCCAGUUCGUUAUGGGAGACGAAUUUCAGGACAUGAACAUGAGUCUUUUUGCACCAUUUAUUUUUUGAAUUCUCCCUCUUCGUGGAAAAAUAGCUGCAAGUGUAAAAGUGAGUCAGCCCUGAGUCUUAUGAGACCUGCAAGGUGCGGACGGUGAAGGCAGGUACCCUGGAGAAGCUGGUGGGGCACCUGGUGCCCGCCUUCCAGGGCAGCGACCUCUCCUACGUCACCGUCUUCCUGUGCACCUACCGGGCCUUCACCACCACCCAGCAAGUCCUGGACCUGCUGUUCGAAAGAUACGGCUGCAUCCUGCCUUAUGCCCACGAGGACGGCGGGCCCCAGGACCAGCUGAAAAACUGGUGGCCUAUGUGCAGCUCAACAUGCCCGGCUCCGACCUGGAGCGCCGUGCCCACCUUCUCCUGGCCCAGCUGGAGCAUGCGGAGCUCACCCAGGCAGAGCCAGAGGCUUCACUGCAUCUCAGGAUCUAGCGAAGGUGCCAACACCAGCUCCUGGACCAUCUGAAGUUCUGGAUCCAGCGGAAGAAGCAGCAACAGAACCAAAGCCACAUCCUGCGCUGGAGGAACAUUUGCAUUCGUAGCCAGAGCGACACGGCGGGUCGGCAGCUCCAGAGCAAAGCAGACGCCACGGUCAGUUCCAUCAGCACCUCCACCCGGACCUGCGGCUGCACCUGCUCCUGCAGGAGACCCCGAGCAGGUCUUAAUAUAGUCACGCCUAGUGUUUUAAGGGCUACAUCACACGCCUCACGAGCACAUAGCACAUCCCCGACACCGAGCAGCCCUCCCUGUGUCCCGUGCAGACUGUGUCACUGCCCAGGACGAGACUCUGCCGGAAGCACUCACUCCCCACCGCCCCCCCAGCCCCCGGCAGCCCCUCAUCUGCCGUCUGUCUCUGUGUCUUCACCUGUUCUGGAUAUUUCCCAUAAAUGGAAUCCCACAACAGAUGAAAGAGGAGAUGCACAAAAUGAAGCCCUUUGAGUCACUGUGUGCGUCUGGGCAGUGUCCCCUGUUCUGAGUGUGACGUCAGAGCCAGAAGACCGACGGGAAACUCCUGGCUCUUCCUGUGGCCAAAACAGGAACAGGAAACACGUGGAAAGUGAGAAAGACAACCCACACACUGGAAGAGCCUCCUCACAGCCCAGGGCCAGGGCGACACGAGACAUCCCUGGGGUCCUGAAGACGCUCCAGAGCCAAUGCUUCUCUCCGGGUGGGGCCCCUCCCCUGCAGAGCCCAUCCCGGGACCCCGGCCGCAGGGAUCCCUGCACAGUGUCUCCAAGAUGUAUUUUCAAGAGGGUCCGGCACGGCACAGGCUGGAGUAUCAGGGACUGGAAACGCCAGUGUCCACGGAGAGGGGAUGGGAUGCAUCGGUCCUGGCCCACGUGGACCAGUGAGCUCUGGGCAGCUGCUAAUGUGGGUGUGGGGUCCCCACGUGCCGACAGAGACCCCGGGCGUUUUCUGACAUGGGCCACCUGUGGACUGUGUGCACCCAGGACCCCGUCUGUCAGACCACGUACACGUGAGGUCAGGGGGAGACACACACGUAUGAAACCGAAUCUGUGUAUGAGCGAGGAGACAGACAGAGAGACACGUGGCAAACCUUUGGUGAUGUGCGCCCUGGGGUGGGGUGUCCACGUCUUUCAUCUUUAAAUUUUUGU
RNAcentral lists this long non-coding RNA (2835 nucleotides) under Sus scrofa (pig). RNAcentral's name for it is "lncRNA (ENSSSCG00055000500.1)". Lineage: Eukaryota; Metazoa; Chordata; Mammalia; Artiodactyla; Suidae. The record is from RNAcentral.